UACGUAGGGUGCAAGCGUUAAUCGGAAUUACUGGGCGUAAAGCGUGCGCAGGCGGUUGUGCAAGACCGAUGUGAAAUCCCCGGGCUUAACCUGGGAAUGGUAUUGGUGACUGCACGGCUAGAGUGUGUCAGAGGGGGGUAGAAUUCCACGUGUAGCAGUGAAAUGCGUAGAGAUGUGGAGGAAUACCGAUGGCGAAGGCAGCCCCCUGGGAUAACACUGACGCUCAUGCACGAAAGCGUGGGGAGCAAACAGG
RNAcentral lists this ribosomal RNA (253 nucleotides) under uncultured bacterium. RNAcentral describes it as "partial 16S ribosomal RNA". It matches the Rfam family "Bacterial small subunit ribosomal RNA", at positions 524 to 776 of the family's 1533-position model. The record is from RNAcentral.